RNAcentral lists this transfer RNA (69 nucleotides) under Ictidomys tridecemlineatus (thirteen-lined ground squirrel). RNAcentral's name for it is "Spermophilus tridecemlineatus (thirteen-lined ground squirrel) tRNA". It matches the Rfam family "tRNA". From Rfam's summary of the family: Transfer RNA (tRNA) molecules are approximately 80 nucleotides in length. Their secondary structure includes four short double-helical elements and three loops (D, anti-codon, and T loops). The record is from Rfam by way of RNAcentral. Lineage: Eukaryota; Metazoa; Chordata; Mammalia; Rodentia; Sciuridae.
GGGGUUGGGGCUCAGUGGUAGAGCACUCGCCUGGCAUGUGUGAGGCCCUGGGUUCGAUCUUCAGCACCA